GAUGAACGCUGGCGGCGUGCCUAAUACAUGCAAGUCGAGCGAACGGACGAGAAGCUUGCUUCUUUGAUGUUAGCGGCGGACGGGUGAGUAACACGUGGAAAACCUACUUAUAAGACUGGGAUAACUUCGGGAAACCGGAGCUAAUACCGGAUAAUAUUUUGAACCGCAUGGUUCAAAAGUGAAAGACGGUCUUGCUGUCACUUAUAGAUGGAUCCGCGCUGCAUUAGCUAGUUGUUAAGGUAACGGCUUACCAAGGCAACGAUGCAUAGCCGACCUGAGAGGGUGAUCGGCCACACUGGAACUGAGACACGGUCCAGACUCCUACGGGAGGCAGCAGUAGGGAAUCUUCCGCAAUGGGCGAAAGCCUGACGGAGCAACGCCGCGUGAGUGAUGAAGGUCUUCGGAUCGUAAAACUCUGUUAUUAGGGAAGAACAUAUGUGUAAGUAACUGUGCACAUCUUGACGGUACCUAAUCAGAAAGCCACGGCUAACUACGUG
Molecule: ribosomal RNA, 497 nt
Filed under: uncultured bacterium
Lineage: Bacteria
Description: partial 16S ribosomal RNA
Rfam family: Bacterial small subunit ribosomal RNA
Source: RNAcentral